GAAAACAGCAACUUUGGGCCUUAAGCCCAAACUGAACUCAAGCCAAACCCGAGUUGGAGCAUGCUCAUACGUACAAGCUAGGUAUCGGAAUUCCCAUGUCCAAAUGUGAUGAACUCUUCAGCAGCGUGAACAAUGAAACACCUUAUCCUCCUCCAAUGGCGCUCCUUGAUUCUCACCCUCACAUCUCAAAAUUUAAUCAAAGUUUGAAGCAGAAAUCAAAUCCUACUGGGAUGUAUCCAUCAUUCACGUCCGAACUCCAUUGAAGCAAAUGGCGCACCAGAGGGAAACAAAUCAAGCAGUGCAGUUGAGCUAAAAGGCAUGGAAGAAAACUUACGGUGAUUGAAUUCCGGCGCGGUGGCUAAGGUGAUGCGUUCGUUGUUCUUCAAUCGUCGUGCUCCGCCGUUGUCGUUCGUUUUUUUAUUUGCGCCAUUGAUGAUGAAGAGGGCGUGAUGAUCGAUGUUGAUUCGUAGUGAAGCAUUGCGUUGAAUUACAGAUGAGUAUGUGAUGAUGACGAAUCAUGGAGUGAAGAGCGACGGGUGCAAGCCAUCAAAUUGUGAAAAGGUGUGAUCACGUUUCCAUUUCUGAGUUGCAAUGCCUCUUUUCCCUUUUUCUGUUCGGAACCUCUCCGAAUUUUCUUAUGUUUUCCCCGGGAAGUUUGUUAUGAAUUUCCUACUAUAUUUUUCCGACUUCUUCCAUCUCUCGUACACCCUGCUCGGAGCUUUUUCAUUGUUGUAAGAGAAUUGUGGAAUUGAAAGGUUGAGGGUCAGUGAGAGAGUUUUAAGGUUCUGGAAAUUCGGUUAGAGAUCGCCCUGGUUCAGGUUGUCGGUUCUGUGAUAUAUGGUUAUGAUAUUUUUGUAGUUAGUUUUUCCAGGUUUGUUGCAGAAUCAAAUCGUUCGUUCAGAUACGGUUAUAUAGUUAUGAAGCUGGAAAAAAAUUAGUUAGAGGGUUAGUUAUAUGUGUUAGUUCUGUCAUCACCGUUUGUUAUAAGUCACUGAUUUCCCCUAAUCAACAUUUUGAACCUCUGGCUUUGAUGGGGAACGGAAGACUUGUCAGAGCUUUGCUCACUAGAAGCAUCACUCGACUGACCUCCUGCUCUAAUGACACGCAUAAUACUCAAAUCAUGUAUCAGCAACUCCCAGAUCACUUCAGUUACAGUCAUGGAGGGAAUUAGCUCGCGAGGAAACAAAGUUCGAUCAAGACGCUUCCACAAAACUUGGCAAGGCUCGGUCAAGACAUCAAGUUUGAGGUAAUUUUUAGAGUGCUACUUGUAAAAAUGAAGAAAAAUUUAGUGUGACUAGGAUUAGGACUUAGAAGUUUAAGAAAUUGCCUUUGGAAUGCAUUGGCUUGGGUGGAAUGUAACUUUGGAUUAAAACCUUGUAGGUAAAUUUUCGAUUGAAGUUGUAAUGUGAUUGGCUUAACAUGUAUGGUUUGAAUAUAAUGGUCAUGUGUGGAACAAAUGGUUGUAAUGGAAAUUGGAAGUUGAAUGUAUGCAUGAAAAAUGUAUGGAAUUUGGCUUA
Long non-coding RNA from Lathyrus oleraceus (garden pea), 1517 nucleotides. RefSeq lists it as uncharacterized. The transcript is spliced from 2 exons. NCBI's taxonomy places the organism in Eukaryota, Viridiplantae, Streptophyta, Magnoliopsida, Fabales, Fabaceae. The record is from RefSeq and is a predicted model, not a curated record.